UGGGAGUGUGGGGCAAGCAGGCGCGGGAAGGGGAAGGGGGGGAGCGUGGGUGGGAAUUAGUGGGCGGAAAGCGAGUGGAGGUGGUUGUCAUAGGCAGGCGUGAAAGCCGUGAGCUCAACGCAAGAAAUGCGCUUGAUACUGGGCAGCUAGAGGACCGGAGAGGAUAGUGGAAUUCCCAGUGUAGUGGUGAAAUACGUAGAGAUUGGGAAGAACACCAGUGGCGAAGGCGGCUAUCUGGACGGUUUCUGACACUAAGACUCGAAAGCGUGGGGAGCAAACAGGAUUAGAUACCCAGUAGUC
Molecule: ribosomal RNA, 300 nt
Filed under: uncultured Bacillus sp.
Lineage: Bacteria; Bacillati; Bacillota; Bacilli; Caryophanales; Bacillaceae
Description: bacterial SSU rRNA
Rfam family: Bacterial small subunit ribosomal RNA (bases 53-300)
Source: RNAcentral